This is a long non-coding RNA of Brassica napus (rape), 2531 nucleotides long. RefSeq lists it as uncharacterized. The record is from RefSeq and is a predicted model, not a curated record. NCBI's taxonomy places the organism in Eukaryota, Viridiplantae, Streptophyta, Magnoliopsida, Brassicales, Brassicaceae. The transcript is spliced from 2 exons.
AACCACAAUAACCCAAACAAUCAAAACACCAAAAACUAGAAUCCCAAAAAAUACGAAUCAUUAAUGAUCACCUCUCUUUUUGUCUAAUCUUACAAAUAAACUUCAAAAAAAUAUACCAAACCAAUCAACUCAACUAAAACUCAACGACACAUACAUUGAGCCAGCUAAAGAAAUACAAGAAACAAUCCCAACAGACACAAAGGCGGGACCAACAUCUCCACCUACUCACUCCUCUUGUCUUAUGAAAAUAGCUUACAUGCUCAAUGUCAAAAGGCCAAUGCUAUUGUGUUCUUAUGAGAUAUACAUAUAUUUGUUUAACGUCCAAAUACUAAUUGUCACUCAUUUUAUAGUUAUUUUUACAAGUCUUCAUGUAUUUGUUUUAAAGGUCCGGUAAAAGCAACAAGUUUAAAAUUAAAAAAAAAACAUAUAACCAACAUAAUAGGAAUAAAAACAAUUAUUAUUUAAUACACACAAUUACACAACUAAACUGGAGAAAAAAUAUCGAAAAACAAAAGGUACUCUCAACAACCUUAAUAUAAUUUAUGUAAUCUCAACUGUACACACUACAAAGAAAGUCUACAUUGAUAGCAUAUUGUUAUAGUACGUUUUACUGAACUGUUAUCGUAGAUGAUUUAAAAAUUUAUGUAUUAUAUGAUAGCGUUAGAUAAACACUACGAUAGAGAGAAACCUAAAAUAGCACUUAAUUAAUGCUAUUCUGAAAAUGAAGUGAGCGGGAAGAUAAAAUCCCUACACCCCAAACAUGGUUUUCAACCCUAAACUUUAUAAUGCUAAGAAAAGCUAUUAAUGAUAGCGUUUUAUAAUGCUAAGAAAAGCUAUUAAUGCUAAGAAAAGCUAGUCGAACCCCUACACCCCAAACAUGGUUUUCAACCCUAAACUUUAAAUACAACCCUUAAAACUCUAAUUUUUCAUAUUUUUACUUCAAAUCUUAAAAUUAAACUCAAAAUUUCAUCUUCUUAAUCUUAAACUAUCAUUUACUAAACACAUAUCUCUUUAUCUUCAAUGAAACUCUAUAUCCUAAAUCAUAACUUCAAACAUAAACUAUACAUUCAAUACUCUAAGUAUAAACUUCAGAUCUAAAUUAUUAAAAAUUUAAUUACAAAUCUUAUAUCUAGCCUUCAAAUCUAUUAUUUCCAAUUUUAAUCCAAAAUACUAAACUUUAAUCCUAAACCUCAUAUUCCAACAUCCAAACCUUAAAACACAAAACCAAACUUUACUCUUAAUCAUAAUUUCUUUGAAACGAUAAAAUCUAAAUUUUAAACUUUUCGACUCUAGUAUCAAACAUACAAAUUUAUAAACGGAUUACAAAUCAGAUUGAAUAAUAAAAAUCAGAUUUCAGUUUAAACAUACAAAUUUUUAAAAUGAUGACCAAAAUCAUAAUCUUGAUAUCAAUCUAAUAUUUUCAAAUUUAAACAUCAAUUCUUUGUUCAAAAAAAAACAUCAAUUCUUAAAAUAAAUAUUAAUUUAUUAUGUUAAAAAAAUAAACUUUAAGUUAAAAUUAUAAACUACAAAAUAUAAAAUUUUAUAUACGAUAUAACUAAGAAAAAUUACUUACAAAACAAAUUAUCAAAUACUGAAGAACAAAACAAAAAGAAAAAUAGAAAAAGAAACAUAAAAUUUUCUGACCAAUAAGAUUCAGAUACAUGUAUCACACUUCUUAGCCAUUGGAUUAAUUUAGAUCUAAAAGUUGAGAUUUAUUCAUUUUAUUUUUUAUUUUUUCCUCUGUCUCUCUUUCUCUCCACGACAGAUCUCAUCUCUUUCUCUUCUUUUUUUUUUUUCCGAUUCACUCUCCAUCUAUUAAAGUCCCACAUCGUGUGGUGACAUGGUCCUUGGGCAAUAUAUAUGUGUAUGGUCAAUCCUUCACUCUUGAGCUAGCUUUUGGGCGUGAGUUAGUCUCAUCACUAAUAUUCUCCAUCUUCUCCUUCACUCUCAUAUCUCAUCUCUCAUUUCUCCCAUCUCUGUGACUCUGUCCCACCGCGUCUCCUCCUAGUCUCACCACCACCGCGUCUCCUCCUCUUCUCACCACCACCGCGGUCGCCUUCCCACCCCCACCACGGUGGUCGUGAGCAGAGAUGCUGGUCUGUGGUCGUGAGCCGCCGAGAGCAGUGUCGCCGGAAGUGGACCCAUCAGAGACUCCACCGGUGAGGAUCAGAAGAAUAAGAAUCGGUGCUUCUUUUGUUCUUAGUAGAUACAGGGGGUGAAGGAAGAUGAAGAAGAUAAAGGUGGUGAAGGAAGAUGAAGAAGCUCAGUGGACGUGGUUGAAGGCGGCUGAGUUAGAAAGAUAGGGAUUCUUUUUUUUUUUAGGUUUAGUGUAAAAAACUGACUUAAUCCCUUGACUAACAAGAAUCGUACUCUCAUUUAGAAAACAGAGAGAAAAAGAUAAUUCAACAAUUCUUUCAAGAUCUUUAUUUUCUUCUGUUUUUAUUUUCUUUGAGAUUAUUAACAAAUACUCGUUCAAUAGAAUUUGUCUUAGGUGUUGAACAAUUCUUUCAAGAUAUUUUUUUUCUUCUGUU